UUGGAGGGCAAGUCUGGUGCCAGCAGCCGCGGUAAUUCCAGCUCCAAUAGCGUAUAUUAAGGUUGUUGCAGUUAAAAAGCUCGUAGUUGAAUUUCGAGACCGGCUUAUUGGUCCUGCUUUUGUACGUACUGGUAUAAUCGGUUUCUCCUUUCUGACGAACUAUAUUGCUAUUAAUUUGCUGUUAUAGGGAAUCAGGACUGUUACUUUGAAAAAAUUAGAGUGUUUAAAGGAGGCUCACGCUUGAAUACAUUAGCAUGGAAUAUCGGAAUAGGACGUUUGAUUCUAUUUUGUUGGUUUCUAGGAUCGACGUAAUGAUUAAUAGGGAUAGUUGGGGGCGUUAGUAUUCAAUUGUCAGAGGUGAAAUUCUUGGAUUUAUUGAAGACUAACUACUGCGAAAGCAUUUGCCAAGGAUGUUUUCAUUAAUCAAUAACGAAAGUUAGGGGAACGAAGACGAUCGGAUUCCGUCGUAGUCUUAACCAUAAACUAUGCCGACUAGGGAUCGGAUGAUGUUAAUUUUUUAAUGACUCAUUCGGCGCCUUACGGGAAAC
RNAcentral lists this ribosomal RNA (548 nucleotides) under uncultured Glomus. RNAcentral's name for it is "SSU rRNA". It matches the Rfam family "Eukaryotic small subunit ribosomal RNA", at positions 548 to 1098 of the family's 1831-position model. The record is from RNAcentral. Lineage: Eukaryota; Fungi; Glomeromycota; Glomeromycetes; Glomerales; Glomeraceae.